UGCAGUGUGGCUCAGUGGUAGAGCGCUUGCCUAGCACAUGUGAGGCCCUGGGUUCGAUCCUCAGCACCACAU
This 72-nucleotide transfer RNA is filed under the name Ictidomys tridecemlineatus (thirteen-lined ground squirrel). RNAcentral's name for it is "Spermophilus tridecemlineatus (thirteen-lined ground squirrel) tRNA". It matches the Rfam family "tRNA". Rfam says of the family: Transfer RNA (tRNA) molecules are approximately 80 nucleotides in length. Their secondary structure includes four short double-helical elements and three loops (D, anti-codon, and T loops). The record is from Rfam by way of RNAcentral. Lineage: Eukaryota; Metazoa; Chordata; Mammalia; Rodentia; Sciuridae.